GGAUCGGUAGUUCAGUUGGUUAGAAUGCCGCCCUGUCACGGCGGAGGUCGCGGGUUCGAGUCCCGUCCGGUACGCAA
RNAcentral lists this transfer RNA (77 nucleotides) under Chitinophaga skermanii. RNAcentral's name for it is "tRNA-Asp". It matches the Rfam family "tRNA". Rfam says of the family: Transfer RNA (tRNA) molecules are approximately 80 nucleotides in length. Their secondary structure includes four short double-helical elements and three loops (D, anti-codon, and T loops). The record is from RNAcentral. Lineage: Bacteria; Pseudomonadati; Bacteroidota; Chitinophagia; Chitinophagales; Chitinophagaceae.